RNAcentral lists this long non-coding RNA (289 nucleotides) under Capsicum annuum. Its description in RNAcentral is "long non-coding RNA (CANN_LNC000739)". Lineage: Eukaryota; Viridiplantae; Streptophyta; Magnoliopsida; Solanales; Solanaceae. The record is from RNAcentral.
CCUCAAACCACCACCAAGAGACCCACAAACAAAGAAAAUCAACUACAUGAAUCCACCUUCGUAAUCUACAGAUGUUGUUAGAUUUAAGAAAUGAUUUAUUAUUUUGUUGUAGAUCCUCUCAAUUAUGAUAAUUAAAUCUAGCUAACUCCCAACUUAGUGGAAUGUUUUUUCUUUUUAUAUUGGUUGGAUUAUACCCUUUUCUCUGUUGUAAAGAUCGGAAAGUCCAUAACAUUGUAUGUUUUUGUCUUAGUUUUUCUUUUUAGAUGAAAGCAAUUUUACUUAAGUUGCA